UACGUAGGAUCCAAGCGUUGUCCGGAAUUACUGGGUGUAAAGGGUGCGCAGGCGGACUUGUGCGUCAGAGGUUAAAUACUUCGGCUCAACCGGAGAAAUGCCUUUGAUACGGCGAGUCUUGAGUGCGAGAGAGGAUGGUAGAAUUCCUGGUGUAGCGGUGAAAUGCGUAGAUAUCAGGAGGAAUACCCGUGGCGAAGGCGGCCAUCUGGCUCGCAACUGACGCUCAGGCACGAAAGCGUGGGGAU
Molecule: ribosomal RNA, 245 nt
Filed under: uncultured bacterium
Lineage: Bacteria
Description: partial 16S ribosomal RNA
Rfam family: Bacterial small subunit ribosomal RNA
Source: RNAcentral